This 377-nucleotide ribosomal RNA is filed under the name uncultured bacterium. Its description in RNAcentral is "bacterial SSU rRNA". It matches the Rfam family "Bacterial small subunit ribosomal RNA", at positions 136 to 507 of the family's 1533-position model. The record is from RNAcentral.
AUGGGGGAUAACUGCGCGAAAGCGUUGCUAAUACCGCAUACGACCUACGGGUGAAAGCAGGGGACCGCAAGGCCUUGCGUCGAUGGAGCGGCCGAUGCCGGAUUAGCUAGUUGGUGAGGUAAAGGCUCACCAAGGCGACGAUCCGUAGCUGGUCUGAGAGGACGACCCAGCCACACUGGGACUGAGACACGGCCCAGACUCCUACGGGAGGCAGCAGUGGGGAAUCUUGGACAAUGGGCGAAAGCCUGAUCCAGCAAUGCCGCGUGUGGGAAGAAGGCCUUCGGGUUGUAAACCACUUUUGGCGGGAAAGAAAUGGUCUGUGCUAAUACCACGGAUUGAUGACGGUACCCGCAGAAUAAGCACCGGCUAACUACGUG